This 497-nucleotide ribosomal RNA is filed under the name uncultured bacterium. Its description in RNAcentral is "partial 16S ribosomal RNA". It matches the Rfam family "Bacterial small subunit ribosomal RNA", at positions 28 to 507 of the family's 1533-position model. The record is from RNAcentral.
GAUGAACGCUGGCGGCGUGCCUAAUACAUGCAAGUCAAGCGAACAGACGAGGAGCUUGCUCCUCUGAUGUUAGCGGCGGACGGGUGAGUAACACGUGGAUAACCUACCUAUAAGACUGGGAUAACUUCGGGAAACCGGAGCUAAUACCGGAUAACAUGUUGAACCGCAUGGUUCAACAGUGAAAGACGGUCUUGCUGUCACUUAUAGAUGGAUCCGCGCCGCAUUAGCUAGUUGGUAAGGUAACGGCUUACCAAGGCAACGAUGCGUAGCCGACCUGAGAGGGUGAUCGGCCACACUGGAACUGAGACACGGUCCAGACUCCUACGGGAGGCAGCAGUAGGGAAUCUUCCGCAAUGGGCGAAAGCCUGACGGAGCAACGCCGCGUGAGUGAAGAAGGUCUUCGGAUCGUAAAACUCUGUUAUUAGGGAAGAACAAAUGUGUAAGUAACUAUGCACGUCUUGACGGUACCUAAUCAGAAAGCCACGGCUAACUACGUG